Molecule: ribosomal RNA, 404 nt
Filed under: uncultured bacterium
Lineage: Bacteria
Description: bacterial SSU rRNA
Rfam family: Bacterial small subunit ribosomal RNA
Source: RNAcentral
UAGGGAAUAUUGCACAAUGAGCGAAAGCUUGAUGCAGCAACGCCGCGUGCGCGAUGACGGCCUUCGGGUUGUAAAGCGCUUUUCGGGGAGAUGAGGAAGGACAAUAUCCCCGGAAUAAGUCUCGGCUAACUACGUGCCAGCAGCCGCGGUAACACGUAGGCGGCAAGCGUUAUCCGAAUUUACUGGGCGUAAAGCGCGUGCAGGCGGUUCGGUAAGUUGGAUGUGAAAGCUCCUGGCUGAACUGGGAGAGGUCGCUCAAGACUGGCUGACUCGAGGAUGGUAGGGGAAGGUGGAAUUCCGAGUGUAGUGGUGAAAUGCGUAGAUAUCCGGAGGAACACCAGUGGCGAAGGCGGCCUUCUGGACCAUCACUGACGCUCAGACGCGAAAGCUAGGGUAGCAAACGG